Micropterus dolomieu (smallmouth bass) is the source of this 2793-nucleotide long non-coding RNA. RefSeq lists it as uncharacterized. The transcript has 3 exons. Lineage: Eukaryota; Metazoa; Chordata; Actinopteri; Centrarchiformes; Centrarchidae. The record is from RefSeq and is a predicted model, not a curated record.
UUUCCAUGCACCACACAAGGCUGACCUUCAGACCCAGGACAGAGCACCGUCCACUCCACAUAUCUGCUGGCAUCCUCAACGAGGCAGGAAAUUGAAAGAAGGAGACAGAAUCAGCCACACAGCUGACGGAGGAUGAGCUGCCGACCAUAAUUACCCCAAGUGCUAUUCAAAUGGCACCACCUCAUUUUAUGGACAGUUAAGAAUACCCAUGCUCUCUAAUGUGCUCUCGCAGCUCCAGCGAUGUUCCUAUCCACUGGUCAUAUUCAGACACACUGCUGUAGCUCACACACAAUAGCUGCUUAAUAGCCAGCUAUUUAAAGACGCUACAUCAGUACCUACAUGCUGCUGCUGAGCUUUAUAGCCCAUGGUGUAGUCAGUGAAUGUUCCAACUGUUCUUAAAGUGUAGUGAAGUAUAAUAUCAGAUGACAUGGUUAAGCUAUGUUUGAGUCAUGUUAUAUAAAUGCAGUGGACAAUACUUUCCACUUGAAUCGUAAGAUUUCUGAUUUGAAAGACAACAUAUUCUAAUUCUAACUAUUCUAAUUAUCCAUUGACUCCCCCUGCUCUGUCAUUCGUUUCUAUCUGCAGGAUGGCAUGGCAUCGUUUUCCAUGGAUGGUGUGUUUGGUUAGAUAUUAGUUAUUUGAGUCGCUUUUACUGUGAGUUCUCCCUCAUGCCUCUUGGCCAUGGAAUCUGUUUUCUCCCCUCUGCUCUCUGCUGGACUGGUACAGUGCGUAACCAUCGUCUCCUCUUCUCACAAAUACAGAUCACCUUUCUGUCCCAAAAGAAGUCAACUGACUGCCCCCCCCCAUCGCCUGUCCUGGGACCUCUCUCUCUCCCCUGGCUAUCCCUGGUGCCUCAUUUCAGAUGUUUGGAUCCAGAUCUUUAUCCUCCUGGAGAUUCAGCCUCUCUCACUCUCUCUCGCGUUGUCCUCUUCUCUCUCUUAGGUUUGCUACGUCCUUCAACCUUACAGUAGAAUCCACAAUUAUACAUAAGAUACUCAGUGACAGAUUAGUGUGUUCAAAACUCCUGAAAACUAAAUGUCAGUGACCCAAAUGUUGAUGACCAGAUUGUCUUUGGCCCAUCUGCCUGUUGCAGACCAAUGUCUCUGCAGUGUUGUGGAGGAAAGAAAACAGGUUUGGAUGAGCGAUUCAAGCCCUGCACAGUUACUCAAGGUCAGUGUGGAGGCUCAAAAAAGACAGAUUUCUACCCAAGUGUGAUAAGCCUUGGGGCAGGCACACACAUAUUUCAGAUGUUCUCUGAUGAUAAUCGUCGACACUAUACGGUGGCCUGGGGGAAGUGAUUAAAGCACUUUGUCUUCAGUCAUACCCACCUCGUCCAAUCCUCGUUUCUGAUCCCUAUCUGAACCUUGCUGCUGCCUAGACAAUGCAGAGCACAUCUCUCUGUCUCCCUCUAUCUAUAAGUCUCUCUCCACUGCAGUGUUUAUUUAAAACACUGAAGACAAAUCAAAUGCCUUAGAAAAACAUUUAAAAGUUUGGAAUUUGCCACGGUCAUUGUGUUUCCUGUGCAAAGGAGGGGCGGGGGCUCGGCCUUUUAGUUUAGUUAAAUCUACAUGAGAUGAAUAAGAUAUUCAGAUACUGUAACUAUAAUGUUUUCCAUGGUUUGUAUAAUGUGUCAACUGCAUUGUUGUAUUUUCUUAACUGACUGUCCUUCCAAGAAAAACAACAGCAUCAAUUGUUUGUUCAGAUGACUGACAAGGACCUCCAGCGGCUAAAUGAUUAAUGAUUUUAGUCCUGUCAAGAGCAGGCACGGGAGAAGCAUGAUGACAUAUGUUUCCUAACUCAUCAGGAGAUCCUUUUGUUUGAAAUCCUUUUGUUAACAAAUAAUAAAUGUACUUCUUUGCAAACAACAACAAACUAAUUAUUAAUAUUAGCCUAAAACAGUAAAAACUAAAUUUGCAAGUGAUCGGAGGCAGACAUAAAGCCAAUGACACACUCUUGUGAGCUAAUGGCAUAAAACACAUGGUUGGUUCAACUGCUAGAGCAAACUACCCAAACACUCAUGUGUGAUGUAAAACAAGUAAGAUGGCUUUGGAAAUGUGAAAGAUUGGCCUGCUGUAGCAGCCUCCCGGCAGUAGGUGGCAGUGUGAGACUGUGGUUUACCCUCAGGGACCAUGACCAAGAGAGCAUGCUCCGCUGUUUUCCCUCAAUAACUGCGGAGAUUUCAGCGAGGAAACACCACAUCUCUCUCUGUCUCACCCUUUUUCCUGUAUUUCAGGUUAGUAAUGUGUUCACAUAAAUUGCUGUAGGUUGUUAGUGAAUGCUGAGAGAUAAGUUGAGUUAACGUAUAAGAGUAAAAUGAGCAGGUUUUGGAGAUACGGUUUCACAUGAGGCCCGCCGAGAGUAACGAUAGCGGCGCGGUUUGCUCUGUUAAUAGCAUGUUAGCGUAAGAUGCUAGUGUGGGCCACACGUCUCCACUGUUUUAGGUUAGAAUAAUAUACUGGAUGGCUCCAUAAACAAUAUUUAGCAUGUUGGAAUAUUUUGGAAAUGGUGUUUGUAUUUAUAUGUUUUAGUGAUGAAUACUGUUAUACUGUCAGCGAGUCAAGAGUCAUAUUUCAUGGCGUCAGAGUAUCCGGUGUAUUUUGCACUGCAGUAAUAGCCAAAAGUAUUUGGACAGACGAAUAUGGAAAUGGUUGUGAAAUGUGUAUAAUUUUGUGUUUGGAGUUUUAUUGAAUGUUAUGUUAAGAACAUGAACAAUGUGUCCAAGAAGACGAGGCAUGUACGGUACUGAGAAAUACUGAGAAAUUCAAACAAAGACUAUUCUGAUGGUAUAAAGGA